UUGGUAGGCUAUGUUGGCAUUACGUGCUGCAAAGGAUGAGAUUAAGAAUUUGAAAGAUGAAAUGCAGGCUACUAAAGAUCACAUGCUACAGUAUAAGAGUAUAGCUCAGGUAAAUGAGGAUGCAUUGAAACAGAUGGAAUUUGCACAUGAAAACUUCAAGAUUGAGGCUGAAAAACUGAAGAAGUCUCGAGAUGCUGAAUUACUCUCUUUGAGAGAGAGGGUCUCUGAACUUGAAAAU
This is an RNA transcript of Rosa chinensis, 238 nucleotides long. RefSeq lists it as uncharacterized. The record is from RefSeq and is a predicted model, not a curated record. The transcript has 3 exons. NCBI's taxonomy places the organism in Eukaryota, Viridiplantae, Streptophyta, Magnoliopsida, Rosales, Rosaceae.